Small nucleolar RNA from Lathyrus oleraceus (garden pea), 106 nucleotides. The record is from RefSeq and is a predicted model, not a curated record. NCBI's taxonomy places the organism in Eukaryota, Viridiplantae, Streptophyta, Magnoliopsida, Fabales, Fabaceae.
AAUUCAUGGUGAGGGCAAACUCUUGUUAAUUCCUUGUAUCGCUCUCACGCUAUAAAGAGUGAUUCACUGUUUCUCUACCUGAAGCAGGUAAUUUGGUUCCUUAAUU